RNAcentral lists this ribosomal RNA (520 nucleotides) under uncultured Glomus. RNAcentral describes it as "SSU rRNA". It matches the Rfam family "Eukaryotic small subunit ribosomal RNA", at positions 569 to 1092 of the family's 1831-position model. The record is from RNAcentral. Lineage: Eukaryota; Fungi; Glomeromycota; Glomeromycetes; Glomerales; Glomeraceae.
AGCAGCCGCGGUAAUUCCAGCUCCAAUAGCGUAUAUUAAAGUUGUUGCAGUUAAAAAGCUCGUAGUUGAAUUUCGAGACCGGUUUACUGGUCGUGCUUUUGUACGUACUGGUAUUAUUGGUUUCUCCUUUCUGACGAAUCAUAAUGCCAUUAAUUUGGUGUUUUGGGGAAUCAGGACUGUUACUUUGAAAAAAUUAGAGUGUUUAAAGCAGGCUCACGCUUGAAUACAUUAGCAUGGAAUGACGAAAUAGGACGUUUGAUUUUAUUUUGUUGGUUUCUAGGAUCGACGUAAUGAUUAAUAGGGAUAGUUGGGGGCAUUAGUAUUCAAUUGUCAGAGGUGAAAUUCUUGGAUUUAUUGAAGACUAACUACUGCGAAAGCAUUUGCCAAGGAUGUUUUCAUUAAUCAAGAACGAAAGUUAGGGGAUCGAAGACGAUCAGAUACCGUCGUAGUCUUAACCAUAAACUAUGCCGACUAGGGAUCGGAUGAUGUUAAUUUUUAAUGACUCAUUCGGCGCCUUACG